AUUGAACGCUGGCGGCAGGCCUAACACAUGCAAGUCGAGCGGAGCGGCGGACGGGUGAGUAAUGCCUAGGAAUCUGCCUGGUAGUGGGGGAUAACGUCCGGAAACGGGCGCUAAUACAGCAUAUUAUAGGUUGAGCCUGGGUCGGAUUAGCUAGUUGGUGGGGUAAUGGCCUACCAAGCCGACGAUCCGUACCUGGUCUGAGAGGAUGAUCAGUCACACUGGAACUGAGACACGGUCCAGACUCCUACGGGAGGCAGCAGUGGGGAAUAUUGGACAAUGGGCGAAAGCCUGAUCCAGCCAUGCCGCGUGUGUGAAGAAGGUCUUCGGAUUGUAAAGCACUUUAAGUUGGGAGGCGUUACCAACAGAAUAAGCACCGGCUAACUUCGUGCCAGCAGCCGCGGUAAUUC
This 407-nucleotide ribosomal RNA is filed under the name uncultured bacterium. RNAcentral's name for it is "partial 16S ribosomal RNA". It matches the Rfam family "Bacterial small subunit ribosomal RNA", at positions 30 to 526 of the family's 1533-position model. The record is from RNAcentral.